AGUGAACGCUGGCGGUAGGCCUAACACAUGCAAGUCGAACGGCAGCACAGUAAGAGCUUGCUCUUACGGGUGGCGAGUGGCGGACGGGUGAGGAAUACAUCGGAAUCUACUUUUUCGUGGGGGAUAACGUAGGGAAACUUACGCUAAUACCGCAUACGACCUACGGGUGAAAGCAGGGGAUCUUCGGACCUUGCGCGAUUGAAUGAGCCGAUGUCGGAUUAGCUAGUUGGCGGGGUAAAGGCCCACCAAGGCGACGAUCCGUAGCUGGUCUGAGAGGAUGAUCAACCACACUGGAACUGAGACACGGUCCAGACUCCUACGGGAGGCAGCAGUGGGGAAUAUUGGACAAUGGGCGCAAGCCUGAUCCAGCCAUACCGCGUGGGUGAAGAAGGCCUUCGGGUUGUAAGGCCCUUUUGUUGGGAAAGAAAAGCAGCAGGUUAAUACCCCGCUGUUCUGACGGUACCCAAAGAAUAAGCACCGGCUAACUUCGUG
This 492-nucleotide ribosomal RNA is filed under the name uncultured bacterium. Its description in RNAcentral is "partial 16S ribosomal RNA". It matches the Rfam family "Bacterial small subunit ribosomal RNA", at positions 29 to 507 of the family's 1533-position model. The record is from RNAcentral.